AACGAACGCUGGCGGCAGGCCUACCACAUGCAAGUCGAGCGCCCUUUCGGGGGAGCGGCGGACGGGUGAGUAACGCGUGGGAAUAUGCCCUUCUCUACGGAAUAGCCUCGGGAAACUGAGAGUAAUACCGUAUACGCCCUGAGGGGGAAAGAUUUAUCGGGGAAGGAUUAGCCCGCGUUGGAUUAGGUAGUUGGUGGGGUAAUGGCCUACCAAGCCGACGAUCCAUAGCUGGUUUGAGAGGAUGAUCAGCCACACUGGGACUGAGACACGGCCCAGACUCCUACGGGAGGCAGCAGUGGGGAAUCUUAGACAAUGGGGGCAACCCUGAUCUAGCCAUGCCGCGUGAGUGAUGAAGGCCUUAGGGUUGUAAAGCUCUUUCAGCUGGGAAGAUAAUGACGGUACCAGCAGAAGAAGCCCCGGCUAACUCCGUGCCAGCAGCCGCCGUAA
RNAcentral lists this ribosomal RNA (447 nucleotides) under uncultured bacterium. RNAcentral's name for it is "partial 16S ribosomal RNA". It matches the Rfam family "Bacterial small subunit ribosomal RNA", at positions 29 to 523 of the family's 1533-position model. The record is from RNAcentral.